Non-coding RNA from Drosophila ananassae, 542 nucleotides. NCBI's taxonomy places the organism in Eukaryota, Metazoa, Arthropoda, Insecta, Diptera, Drosophilidae. The record is from Rfam.
AGCAAAAUUCACCAAGCGUUGGAUUUUUCACCCAUGCAAGGGGAACGUGAGCUGGGUUUAGACCGUUGUGAGACAGGUUAUUUUUACCCUACUAAUGACAAAACGUUGUUGCGACAGCAUUCCUGCGUAGUACGAGAGGAACCGCAGGUACGGACCAAUGGCACAAUACUUGUUCGAGCGAACAGUGGUAUGACGCUACGUCCGUUGGAUUAUGCCUGAACGCCUCUAAGGUCGUAUCCGUGCUGGACUGCAAUGAUAAAUAAGGGGCAAUUUGCAUUGUAUGGCUUCUAAACCAUUUAAAGUUUAUUAUUUAUAUUUUAAACGACAAUGGAUGUGAUGCCAAUGUAAUUUGUAACAUAGUAAAUUGGGAGGAUCUUUGAUCACCUGGUGCCAUGCUAGUUACAUAUGAAAACAUUAUUUAAUACAAUGACAAAGCCUAGAAUCAAUUGUAAACGACUUUUGUAACGGGCAAGGUGUUGUAAGUGGUUGAGCAGCUGCCAUACUGCGAUCCACUGAAGCUUAUCCUUUGCUUGAUGAUUCGA